UACGAAGGGACCUAGCGUAGUUCGGAAUUACUGGGCCUAAAGCAUCCGUAGCCUGCUCUGUAAGUUUUCGGUUAAAUCUAUAUGCUCAACGUAUAGGCCGCCGAAAAUACUGCAGUGCUAGGAAGUGGGAGAGGUAGACGGUACUUGGUAGGAAGGGGUAAAAUCCUUUGAUCUAUCGAUGACCACCUGUGGCGAAGGCGGUCUACCAGAACACGUUCGACGGUGAGGGAUGAAAGCUGGGGGAGCAAACCGG
RNAcentral lists this ribosomal RNA (253 nucleotides) under uncultured archaeon. Its description in RNAcentral is "partial 16S ribosomal RNA". It matches the Rfam family "Bacterial small subunit ribosomal RNA", at positions 524 to 776 of the family's 1533-position model. The record is from RNAcentral.